AUUCUGGUUGAUCCUGCCAGUAGUUAUAUGCUUGUCUCAAAGAUUAAGCCAUGCAUGUCUAAGUACACACGAAUUAAAAGUGAAACCGCAAAAGGCUCAUUAUAUCAGUUAUGGUUCCUUAGAUCGUUAACAGUUACUUGGAUAACUGUGGUAAUUCUAGAGCUAAUACAUGCAAUUAAAACAUGACCCUUAUGGCACAUGUGCUUUUAUUAGGCUAAAACCAAGAGAUCGCAAGAUCG
Molecule: non-coding RNA, 239 nt
Filed under: Drosophila sechellia
Lineage: Eukaryota; Metazoa; Arthropoda; Insecta; Diptera; Drosophilidae
Description: Eukaryotic small subunit ribosomal RNA
Rfam family: Eukaryotic small subunit ribosomal RNA
Source: Rfam by way of RNAcentral